This 1672-nucleotide ribosomal RNA is filed under the name human gut metagenome. RNAcentral describes it as "bacterial LSU rRNA". It matches the Rfam family "Bacterial large subunit ribosomal RNA", at positions 1378 to 2925 of the family's 2925-position model. The record is from RNAcentral.
GGUGAGUCGGGUCCUAAGGCGAGGCCGACAGGCGUAGUCGAAUGGAUGAACGGGUGGAUAUUCCCGUACCGACCAUGGACCGGCAAAACCGAGACGGUGAGUACUAACCUCCGCCUCGUGGUGGUUCCUUCCUUCGGGUUGGUAUCGCCGCGUGGUGUUGGGAGCGUAGCCGCAGUAGGUCAGCGCAGGGGUGACACGGAAUGGGAGCCGGCCGCGGAGGUGGUUUUCCGUGGUCAAGCACGCAGCCAGUCAUGUAGGCAAAUCCGCAUGGCAUGCAUGGCGAGGUGUGAUGAUGGGAGCCGUUAUGGCUCGAUAUCCGGUUGUCCAGGCCGUCGAGAAAAGCCUCGGCGUGAGGGCCAUGGCCGCCCGUACCCCAAACCGACACUGGUGGUCAGGUAGAGAAUACCAAGGCGAUCGAGCGAAUCCUGGUCAAGGAACUCGGCAAAUCACUCCCGUGCCUUCGGUAUAAGGGAGACCCGCUGGGGUGAACCGGCUAGCCCGGGGAGCUUUGGUGGGUGGCACAGACCAGGGGGUAGCGACUGUUUACCAAAAACACAGGUGCAUGCGAAGGCGAAAGCCGCUGUAUAUGCACUGACGCCUGCCCGGUGCCGGAAGGUUAAGAGGAUCCGUCAAUCCCUUCGGGGACGAAGCGGUGAAUUCAAGCCCCGGUAAACGGCGGUGGUAACUAUAACCAUCCUAAGGUAGCGAAAUUCCUUGUCGGGUAAGUUCCGACCUGCACGAAUGGCGUAACGACUUCCCCACUGUCUCGACCAGGAGCUCGGCGAAAUUGCAGUACGAGUAAAGAUGCUCGUUAAGCGCAGAAGGACGAAAAGACCCCGGGACCUUUACUAUACCUUGGUAUUGGCGUUAGGCGCGGAUUGUGUAGCAUAGGCGGGAGGCUUCGAAGCGGGUGCGCCAGCAUUCGUGGAGCCGCAAGGUGAAAUACCGCUCUGUUCUCGUUUGACGUCUAACCUCGACAAGUCAUCCUUGUCAGGGACAGUGCCUGGCGGGUAGUUCAACUGGGGCGGUUGCCUCCCAAAGAGUAACGGAGGCGCUCAAAGGUCCGCUCAGCCCGGUUGGCAAUCGGGUGUCGAGUGUAAUCGCACAAGCGGGCUUGACUGCGAGGACGACGGUCCGAGCAGGGACGAAAGUCGGAGAUAGUGAUCCGGUGCCGGCGCACGGGCGCGGCAUCGCUCAACGGAUAAAAGGUACCCCGGGGAUAACAGGCUGAUCAUUCCCAAGAGUCCAUAUCGACGGGAUGGUUUGGCACCUCGAUGUCGGCUCGUCGCAUCCUGGGGCUGGAGCAGGUCCCAAGGGUUCGGCUGUUCGCCGAUUAAAGCGGCACGCGAGCUGGGUUCAGAACGUCGUGAGACAGUUUGGUCUCUAUCCUCUGCGCUCGUUGGAAUCCUGAGGAGGCCUGCCCAUAGUACGAGAGGACCUGGGUGGACGAACCUCUGGUAUGCCGGUUGUCGCGCCAGCGGCACGGCCGGUUGGCUACGUUCGGGAGGGAUAACCGCUGAAAGCAUCUAAGCGGGAAGCCUGCUCCAAGAUUAGGAUUCCAUGGAUCUUCGAGAUCCUGUAGCCCGCAUGUUGAACACGUGUUUGAUAGGCCGGAGGUGGAAGUCCCGUGAGGGGUGGAGCCGACCGGUACUAACGGGCGACGGCGACAUAA